RNAcentral lists this transfer RNA (76 nucleotides) under Candidatus Cloacimonadota bacterium. Its description in RNAcentral is "tRNA-Pro". It matches the Rfam family "tRNA". Rfam says of the family: Transfer RNA (tRNA) molecules are approximately 80 nucleotides in length. Their secondary structure includes four short double-helical elements and three loops (D, anti-codon, and T loops). The record is from RNAcentral. Lineage: Bacteria; Pseudomonadati; Candidatus Cloacimonadota.
CGGAGAGUAGCGCAGUUGGUAGCGCACUUGGUUCGGGACCAAGGGGUCGCUGGUUCAAAUCCAGUUUCUCCGACCA